This 407-nucleotide ribosomal RNA is filed under the name uncultured bacterium. RNAcentral describes it as "bacterial SSU rRNA". It matches the Rfam family "Bacterial small subunit ribosomal RNA", at positions 354 to 776 of the family's 1533-position model. The record is from RNAcentral.
GCAAGGAAUUUUCCGCAAUGGGCGAAAGCCUGACGGAGCAACGCCGCGUGGGGGAGGAAGGCCUUCGGGUCGUAAACCCCUUUUGCGAGGGAAGAAGAUCUGACGGUACCUCGCGAAUAAGCCACGGCUAACUACGUGCCAGCAGCCGCGGUAAUACGUAGGUGGCAAGCGUUGUCCGGAUUUACUGGGCGUAAAGCGCGCGCAGGCGGGCCGGUCAGUCCGGGGUGAAAUCUCACGGCUCAACUGUGAGAGGUCCUCGGAAACUGCCGGUCUUGAGGUGCCUAGAGGAGAGUGGAAUUCCCGGUGUAGUGGUGGAAUGCGUAGAUAUCGGGAGGAACACCAGUGGCGAAAGCGACUCUCUGGGGGCGACCUGACGCUGAGGCGCGAAAGCGUGGGGAGCGAACCGG